Molecule: ribosomal RNA, 493 nt
Filed under: uncultured bacterium
Lineage: Bacteria
Description: partial 16S ribosomal RNA
Rfam family: Bacterial small subunit ribosomal RNA
Source: RNAcentral
AUUGAACGCUGGCGGCAUGCCUUACACAUGCAAGUCGAACGGUAACAGGUUAAGCUGACGAGUGGCGAACGGGUGAGUAAUGUAUCGGAACGUGCCCAGUCGUGGGGGAUAACUGCUCGAAAGAGCAGCUAAUACCGCAUACGACCUGAGGGUGAAAGCGGGGGAUCGCAAGACCUCGCGCGAUUGGAGCGGCCGAUAUCAGAUUAGGUAGUUGGUGAGGUAAAGGCUCACCAAGCCGACGAUCUGUAGCUGGUCUGAGAGGACGACCAGCCACACUGGGACUGAGACACGGCCCAGACUCCUACGGGAGGCAGCAGUGGGGAAUUUUGGACAAUGGGCGCAAGCCUGAUCCAGCCAUGCCGCGUGCGGGAAGAAGGCCUUCGGGUUGUAAACCGCUUUUGUCAGGGAAGAAAAGGUUCUGGCUAAUACCUGGGACUCAUGACGGUGCCUGAAGAAUAAGCACCGGCUAACUACGUGCCAGCCGCCGCCGUAA